This 1463-nucleotide ribosomal RNA is filed under the name metagenome. Its description in RNAcentral is "bacterial SSU rRNA". It matches the Rfam family "Archaeal small subunit ribosomal RNA". The record is from RNAcentral.
UGGUUGAUCCUGCCAGACCCAACUGCUAUAUCCAGGGUAAGACUAAGCCAUGCAAGUCGAACGCGCGGAACAUGUCUCCGCUGCGUGGCGAACUGCUCAGUAACACGUCGCUAAUCUACCCUGUAGUGGGGGACAAUCACGGGAAACUGUGGCUAAUACCCCAUAGAUGAUUUGUUGUGGAAUUCAUAUUUCAUCAAAAGGACCCUGAGACUAUGUGAUGGGUUCCGCUACAGGAUGAGGCGGCGGCGGAUUAUAUCAGAUGGCGGGGUAAUGGCCCACCAUAGUGAUGAUCCGUAUGGGCUCUGAGAGGAGUAGCCCAGAGAUGGGAACUGAGACACCGUCCCAAGCCCUACGGGGCGCAGCAGGCGCGAAAACUAUGCAAUACGCGAAAGCGUGACAUGGUAACCCUGAGUGCCGGGAUAGUCCUGGCUUUUAUUCAGCGUAAAAAACUGGAUGAAUAAGGAGAGGGCAAGGCUGGUGCCAGCCGCCGCGGUAAAACCAGCUCUUCGAGUGGUUGGGACUUUUAUUGGGCCUAAAGCGUGCGUAGCCGGACCCGUAAGCCCCUGGUUAAAUCCGACAGCUCAACUGUCUGGGCCGCUAGGGGUACUGCGGGUCUUGGAGGCGGGAGAGGUGAGCGGUACUUCAUGGGUAGGGGUGAAAUCCUGUCAUCCAUGGGGGACCACCGAUGGCGAAGGCAGCUCACUAGAACGCGCUCGACGGUGAGGCACGAAACCCAGGGGAGCGAACCGGAUUAGAUACCCGGGUAGUCCUGGGCGUAAACGAUGCUAGCUAGGUGUUUGCCAAGCCUCGAGCUUGUCAAGUGCCGAAGGGAAGCCGUUAAGCUAGCCGCCUGGGGAGUACGGUCGCAAGACUGAAACUUAAAGGAAUUGGCGGGGGAGCACCGCAAGGGGUGAAGCCUGCGGUUCAAUUAGACCCAACGCUAGGAAACUUACCGGGGGCGACAGCAGAAUGAAGGCCAGAUUGACGCUCUUGCCAGACAAGCUGAGAGGCGGUGCAUGGCCGUCGGCAGUUCGUGCCGUGAGGUGUCCUGUUAAGUCAGGCAACGAACGAAACCCACGCUCCUAGUUGCCCAUUAAUCCCCUCAGGGAUUAACGCACACUAGGAGGACUGCCCGCUCAAGUGGGAUGAAGGUGUGGGCCACGGCAGGUCAGUAUGCCCCGAAUCCCCCGGGCUACACGCGGGCUGCAAUGAUGGGGACAGUGAGUUGCGACUCCGAGAGGAGAAGCUAAUCUCUAAACCCCAUCGUAGUUGGGAUCGUGGGUUGUAACUCACCCACGUGAACAUGGAAUCCCUAGUAAUCGCGUGUCACCAUCGCGCGGUGAAUACGUCCCUGCUCCUUGCACACACCGCCCGUCGCUGCACCUGAGUCUGCUCUGGGCGAGGCCCGGUCGUUUGUUCGGCCGGUUCGAACCUGAGGUAGGCGAGGGGGCAGAAGUCGUAAC